GGGGUUGUGGCUCAGUGGUGGAGCGCUUGCCUUGUAUGCAUGAGGUUCUGGGUUCAAUCCUCAGCACCA
RNAcentral lists this transfer RNA (69 nucleotides) under Ictidomys tridecemlineatus (thirteen-lined ground squirrel). RNAcentral's name for it is "Spermophilus tridecemlineatus (thirteen-lined ground squirrel) tRNA". It matches the Rfam family "tRNA". From Rfam's summary of the family: Transfer RNA (tRNA) molecules are approximately 80 nucleotides in length. Lineage: Eukaryota; Metazoa; Chordata; Mammalia; Rodentia; Sciuridae. The record is from Rfam by way of RNAcentral.